GGCCAGACUCCUACGGGAGGCAGCAGUGGGGGAUAUUGCACAAUGGGGGGAACCCUGAUGCAGCGACGCCGCGUGGGUGAAGAAGUAUUUCGGUAUGUAAAGCCCUAUCGGCAGGGAAGAAAUUGGACGGUACCUGACUAAGAAGCCCUGGCUAACUACGUGCCAGCAGCCGCGGUAAUACCUAGGGGGCAAGCGUUAUCCGGGUUCACUGGGUGUAAAGGGAGCGUAGACGGCCAUGCAAGCCUGGAGUGAAAGCCCGGGGCCCAACCCCGGGACUGCCCUUGGAACUGUGCGGCUAGAGUGCGGGAGGGGCAGGCGGAAUUCCUGGUGUAGCGGUGAAAUGCGUAGAUAUCAGGAGGAACACCGGCGGCGAAGGCGGCCUGCUGGACCGCGACUGACGUUGAGGCUCGAAAGCGUGGGGAGCGAACAGGAUUAGAUACCCGGGUAC
This 448-nucleotide ribosomal RNA is filed under the name uncultured bacterium. RNAcentral's name for it is "bacterial SSU rRNA". It matches the Rfam family "Bacterial small subunit ribosomal RNA", at positions 329 to 793 of the family's 1533-position model. The record is from RNAcentral.